GCCUUCGUGAUGUAGUGGUCAGAAUGCUCGACGCGUAACCGAGAGGUCCGUGGUUCAAUUCCCGGCGAAGGUG
Molecule: transfer RNA, 73 nt
Filed under: Stegodyphus mimosarum
Lineage: Eukaryota; Metazoa; Arthropoda; Arachnida; Araneae; Eresidae
Rfam family: tRNA
About the family: Transfer RNA (tRNA) molecules are approximately 80 nucleotides in length.
Source: Rfam by way of RNAcentral